CACAUGCUUUGUGGGAUACUAAAAUUGCCUGCUCUACAUGAAUCUACCCGCAGCCCUGAAUACAAGCCACGCAAGCUUGGCACGCCCGUCGGUGAUGCAGGGCUUGCCAGCAUGUGAUGCUUGCAAAGCUUAUGUUUGGCACUGGGACUAAAAUAAUUGUUUCCUGUCACUCAAGGUGGGGCAAGAGCAAGAGAGGGCAGAAGUUCGUGGGGCGUGCCUUGAGGCCGCGGCUGCCCUGUGGCAGGUAGGAGUCCCUGUUCACCCAGUGCAUGCAGUCCAUGUGCACCGCAGACCUGCACACGAGUACAACAAAAAUAUUCCCCUUCAGAGAUACUCACGCAGGCCAGACAGACCUCCCUCUUCCUCUGAGGUCAGGGCAAGGGUGGACAUCCGAGGAGUUUCCCUGUUGCAGGCAUUUAGCGGUUGGUUGCAUGGGCGCGCCUGGAGAGGCAC
Molecule: long non-coding RNA, 453 nt
Filed under: Coccomyxa subellipsoidea
Lineage: Eukaryota; Viridiplantae; Chlorophyta; Trebouxiophyceae; Coccomyxaceae
Description: long non-coding RNA (CSUB_LNC000544)
Source: RNAcentral